RNAcentral lists this ribosomal RNA (460 nucleotides) under uncultured bacterium. RNAcentral's name for it is "partial 16S ribosomal RNA". It matches the Rfam family "Bacterial small subunit ribosomal RNA", at positions 338 to 795 of the family's 1533-position model. The record is from RNAcentral.
CCUACGGGAGGCAGCAGUGAGGAAUAUUGGUCAAUGGACGCAAGUCUGAACCAGCCAUGCCGCGUGCAGGAAGACGGCUCUAUGAGUUGUAAACUGCUUUUGUACGAGGGUAAACGCAGAUACGUGUAUCUGUCUGAAAGUAUCGUACGAAUAAGGAUCGGCUAACUCCGUGCCAGCAGCCGCGGUAAUACGGAGGAUUCAAGCGUUAUCCGGAUUUAUUGGGUUUAACGGGUGCGUAGGCGGUCGGAUAAGUUAGAGGUGAAAUCCCAAGGCUUAACUUCGGAAUUGCCUCUGAUACUGUUAGGCUAGAGAGUAGGUGCGGUAGGCGGAAUGUAUGGUGUAGCGGUGAAAUGCUUAGAGAUCAUACAGAACACCGAUUGCGAAGGCAGCUUACCAAGCUAUUUCUGACGUUGAGGCACGAAAGCGUGGGGAGCAAACAGGAUUAGAUACCCCAGUAGUC